RNAcentral lists this ribosomal RNA (248 nucleotides) under uncultured Oscillospiraceae bacterium. RNAcentral's name for it is "partial 16S ribosomal RNA". It matches the Rfam family "Bacterial small subunit ribosomal RNA", at positions 524 to 771 of the family's 1533-position model. Lineage: Bacteria; Bacillati; Bacillota; Clostridia; Eubacteriales; Oscillospiraceae. The record is from RNAcentral.
UACGUAGGUGGCAAGCGUUAUCCGGAUUUACUGGGUGUAAAGGGCGUGUAGGCGGGACUGCAAGUCAGAUGUGAAAACUAUGGGCUCAACUCAUAGCCUGCAUUUGAAACUGGUUGACUUGAGUAUAUUUGAGGUAGGCGGAAUGCGUGGUGUAGCGGUGAAAUGCGUAGAUAUUCGGAGGAACACCAGUGGCGAAGGCGGCCUGCUGGGCUUUUACUGACGCUGAUGCUCGAAAGCAUGGGUAGCAA